Molecule: ribosomal RNA, 477 nt
Filed under: uncultured Acidobacteriota bacterium
Lineage: Bacteria; Pseudomonadati; Acidobacteriota
Description: bacterial SSU rRNA
Rfam family: Bacterial small subunit ribosomal RNA
Source: RNAcentral
GAGGGGCCCGCGCCCGAUUAGCUUGUUGGUAGGGUAACGGCCUACCAAGGCUUUGAUCGGUAGCCGGUCUGAGAGGAUGGCCGGCCACACUGGAACUGAGACACGGUCCAGACUCCUACGGGAGGCAGCAGUGGGGAAUCUUGCGCAAUGGGCGAAAGCCUGACGCAGCGACGCCGCGUGGGGGAUGAAGCCUUUCGGGGUGUAAACCCCUUUCGACCCGGACGAAUGGCCCGCAAGGGAAUUGACGGUACGGGUAGAAGAAGCCCCGGCCAACUACGUGCCAGCAGCCGCGGUAAGACGUAGGGGGCCAGCGUUGCUCGGAAUUACUGGGCGUAAAGGGUCCGUAGGCGGUGCGGCAAGUCGGGGGCGAAAUCUCUGGGCUUAACUCAGAGGCUGCCUCCGAAACUGCCGUGCUCGAGUGCGGGAGAGGCGAGCGGAAUUGCAGGUGUAGCGGUGAAAUGCGUAGAUAUCUGCAGG